RNAcentral lists this ribosomal RNA (490 nucleotides) under uncultured bacterium. RNAcentral's name for it is "partial 16S ribosomal RNA". It matches the Rfam family "Bacterial small subunit ribosomal RNA", at positions 30 to 507 of the family's 1533-position model. The record is from RNAcentral.
AUUGAACGCUGGCGGCAGGCCUAACACAUGCAAGUCGAACGGUAACAGGGAUCAGCUUGCUGAUUCGCUGACGAGUGGCGGACGGGUGAGUAAUGUCUGGGAAACUGCCUGAUGGAGGGGGAUAACUACUGGAAACGGUAGCUAAUACCGCAUAACGUCGCAAGACCAAAGAGGGGGACCUUCGGGCCUCUUGCCAUCGGAUGUACCCAGAUGGGAUUAGCUAGUAGGUGGGGUAACGGCUCACCUAGGCGACGAUCCCUAGCUGGUCUGAGAGGAUGACCAGCCACACUGGAACUGAGACACGGUCCAGACUCCUACGGGAGGCAGCAGUGGGGAAUAUUGCACAAUGGGCGCAAGCCUGAUGCAGCCAUGCCGCGUGUAUGAAGAAGGCCUUCGGGUUGUAAAGUACUUUCAGCGGGGAGGAAGGGAGUAAAGUUAAUACCUUUGCUCAUUGACGUUACCCGCAGAAGAAGCACCGGCUAACUCCGUG